GCGGUAAUACGUGGAAGACUAGUGUUAUUCAUCUUUAAUAGGUUUAAAGGGUACCUAGACGGUAUUUCUAGCCCCCAAAGGGUACGGAUUUACUAGAGUUUUAUGUGAGAGGCAAAUAUAAGUACUAUUGGUGUAGAGAUGAAAUUCUUUGAUACUACUAGGACUGGUGGCGGCGAAAGCAACCCUCUAAGUAUAAACUGACGUUGAGGGACGAAGGCUUGGGUAGCGAAUAGGAUUAGAUACCCUAGUAGUCCAGGCAGAAAAUUAUGAGUGCCAUAGACUAGAUUAAAUAAUUUUGGUCUAUAAAUGAAAGUGUAAGCAUUCCACCUCAAGAGUAAUGUGGCAACGCAGGAACUGAAAUCAUUAGACCGUUUCUGAAACCAGUAGUGAAGUAUGUUAUUUAAUUCGAUAACCCUCGAAAAACCUUACCACAAUUUGUAUGUAAUAUAUGUAGUAGUCUAAUAAUUGUUUAGUUAACAACUACAUGUAUUAACACAAGCGUUGCACGGCUGUCUUCAGUUAAUGUCGUGAGAACUUGGUUAGAUCCAUUAAAUUAACGUAAUCCCUUUCGUUAGUUCUC
Molecule: ribosomal RNA, 580 nt
Filed under: Lichenothelia sp. L986
Lineage: Eukaryota; Fungi; Ascomycota; Dothideomycetes; Lichenotheliales; Lichenotheliaceae
Description: bacterial SSU rRNA
Rfam family: Bacterial small subunit ribosomal RNA
Source: RNAcentral